UUAAAAUGAAUUUCCCGCCAAAAUUUUCCCGCCAAAUUUUUUUUUCCAAAAAUAUUUUUCCCGCCUAAAACUUUUUUUUUACGGGAAAUAGAUUUACAAGGGAUUUUAAAAGGGUUUUAAAAUAUUUACAAAGGAUUUUAAAAGGAUUUUAAAAUAUUUGCAAGGGAUUUUAAAAGAUUUACAAGGAAUUUUAAAAGGAUUUUAAAAGAUUUUUAAAGGAUUUUAAAAUAUUUACAAGGGAUUUUAAAGGGCUUUAAAAAAUUUACAAAUGUUUUUUUAAAGAUUUUUAAAAGGUUUAAAUUUGUUUUAAAAGGGUUUUAAAUAUUUACAAGGAAUUUUAAAAGAUUUACAAAUGAUUUUAAAAGGGUUUUAAAAUAUUUACAAGGGAUUUUAAAGGGCUUUAAAAGAUUUACAAAGGUUUUUAAAAGAGUUUUUAAUGGUUUAAAAGUGUUUUAAAAUAUUUACAAGGGAUUUUAAAAAGGCUUAAAAGUGUUUUACAAGAUUUACAAGGAUGGUUUUAAAAGAUUUAUAAGAGAUUUUUAAAAGGUUUAAAAAAGUUUUACAAGAUUUACAAGGAUGGUUUUAAAAAAUUUAUAAAAGAUUUUAAAAGGGUUUAAAAGUGUUUUACAAGAUUUACAAGGAUGGUUUUAAAAGAUUUAUAAGAGAUUUUUAAAGGGUUUAAAUGAGUUUUAAAAAAUAUACAAGAGUUUUUAAAAGAUUUUUAAAAAAUUUACAAGAAGACACUUUAAAAACUCUUGUAAAUCUUUUUAAGACUUUUUUAAAUCUCUUGUAAAUACUUUAAAACUCUUUUAAAAUCUCUUGUAAAUAUUUUAAAACCCUUUUAAAAUUCCUUGUAAAUCUUUUAAAACCUUUUUAAAAUCUCUUGUAAAUCUUUUAAAACCCUUUUAAAGUUCCUUGUAAAUCUUUUAAAGUCUUUUAAAACCUCUUGUAACUCUUUUAAAGCUCUUUUAAAAUCCCUUGUAAAUCUAUUUCCCGCAAAAAAAAGUUACAAGAAUUUUUAAAAGUAUUUUUUUGGCUCUGGAAAAAAUUGUUAUGAAAA
Molecule: small RNA, 1060 nt
Filed under: Arabidopsis thaliana (thale cress)
Lineage: Eukaryota; Viridiplantae; Streptophyta; Magnoliopsida; Brassicales; Brassicaceae
Description: ATSL173410
Source: RNAcentral